AAUCAUCAACCGCGAUGCUUCUUAGUGUCGCUGGCUUGGACUUGGGGAUCUGCUGGCUUGUCAAGAGUCGGCUUCCCUUGAAUGCAUUAGUCGGGUGCCUUGCUCGAGAAGUGUGAUAAUUAUCAUUCACUGAUCGUCGAGGAGCUUUGUCUCGGCUUCUAACCGCAUUGGAAACGAUGCAAUUUUGACAC
RNAcentral lists this unclassified non-coding RNA (191 nucleotides) under Hyphodontia arguta. RNAcentral's name for it is "partial internal transcribed spacer 2". Lineage: Eukaryota; Fungi; Basidiomycota; Agaricomycetes; Hymenochaetales; Schizoporaceae. The record is from RNAcentral.